AAGAUCAUAGAUUUAAGGACAGAAAGGACCUUACUGUGGUCCAAAUACUUUAUUUUAUAAACUCUCUUUCCACAGCCUCUGGGAGGUGGGAGCAGCAACCCCAGAUAUCAGAUACUGUGUUACCUGAAUGGCACUUGGAGAAAGAAGAGAAGGGCUAUAAGGGAAGUCAGGUGACUCAGCAAAGGUCAAACAGAGUAAAUGACCAAAGGAAGAUUUGUUUCCACUUCUUCUCCAUUCAAAUCCAUUGCUCCCUUCCACUGUCAUGUUCUUUCAGCCUCAGUUUCCUUAUCUGGUAAGGGAGAUAAUAAUGACAAUAGAACUUAUGCCAUGGGCAAAAUUAGAUGAGAUAAGUGGAGAGCAUUUUGCAAAUCUUAAAGCACUAUAUAAAUGUCAGUCUUUUUUUCCCUCCCAUUAUCCCUUUCAGUUAAGGGCAUUGAUUCAAGGAUUUAUGUAUAGGUAGUCCUGGCUAAGAGAUACAGUCACAUUAUCUGACAAUGGAGGAAAGGAAUAGCUGCUAUCCAAGGGUUUUGAGAUGAAGAAAAAGAAAGAAGAGGAAAUUCUAAGUUAAUAACAUCCCGAUGAGGUCCUUACUUAAGAGGAUGAAGAGAGAUGGAAAAUCUAAUGAGUAGCUCAACCCUCCCCCCACUGUUUGCAGAUGAUGAUGGCUCUAAGGAGAGUAGUGAUAUGGCUGCAACUGGGUUAGCCCAUCCAGAGGUUACAUACAGUGGUGGGGCUACACCAUCCACAAACAAUCCAGAUUUUGUGGAAGAUCUUUCCCAAGUUCAGCUGCUCCAGAAUGAAUCUUCAAAUACAGUAGAAAAUAGUGAACAGCGGCAUGAGGAUGAGCAAAGAAACAAACGAGGAGGUUGGUCCAAAGGAAGAAAGAGGAAGAAGCCACUUCGAGAUAGCAAUGCUCCCAAAUCCCCCCUUACAGGAUACGUGCGGUUCAUGAAUGAACGUCGAGAACAGCUUCGUGCAAAGAGGCCUGAGGUCCCCUUUCCGGAAAUCACAAGGAUGCUGGGGAAUGAAUGGAGUAAACUGCCUCCUGAAGAGAAACAGCGUUACCUGGAUGAAGCAGACCGAGAUAAGGAACGCUACAUGAAGGAGCUGGAACAGUAUCAGAAGACAGAGGCCUACAAAGUUUUUAGCAGAAAAACCCAGGACCGGCAGAAGGGCAAAUCUCACAGGCAGGAAGGAACUCGACAGGCUGCACAUGAUCAUGAGAAGGAAGUCGAUGUGAAAGAAAGAUCUGUUUUUGACAUACCUAUAUUCACAGAAGAAUUCCUUAACCACAGUAAAGCACGAGAAGCAGAGCUGCGACAGCUGCGUAAGUCCAACAUGGAGUUUGAAGAGAGAAAUGCAGCCCUUCAGAAGCAUGUGGAAAGCAUGCGCACAGCUGUGGAGAAACUGGAGGUGGAUGUGCUCCAGGAACGGAGCCGCAACACCGUCCUGCAGCAGCACUUGGAGACCUUGCGACAAGCGCUUACCAGCAGCUUUGCUGGGGUGCCAUUACCUGGAAGUGGAGAGACCCCCACAGUGGAUACCAUUGACUCCUACAUGAACAGACUGCACAGUAUCAUUCUAGCUAAUCCCCAGGACAAUGAAAACUUCAUAGCCACAGUUCGAGAGGUUGUGAACAGGCUUGAUCGCUAGUGACUGGUGCUCUGGCUCCAAGAUGUUCUGCAAGUGAUUUCUGCUUGUGAGGAAUGAGAAGCCAUGAUGGAAACAGACUGCCCAGGGGCAGAAAGAGGCUGUGGAGAAAGUGACCUGUGCAUUCAUUCCAGCCUCCCCCACCCCUGGAAAGCCAUAGGAACACCCUGAGGGUUCCUGUUUCCCUGGCUACUACUUAAGAAGCAGCCUCGUUCGUGCACGGUUCAUGGAUUCUCUGCACUUGGAAUAAAGGCUUCAAAGUAAAUAAAUAGUAGGUGGGAGUUAAGUAAGGCUUCAGAGGCAUUACUUAAGUGGUUGGAGUCAAGUCUCAGGCUAAUCUGAGCCAUCUUUGUGGAGGGGGCAUGUUUGGAAGAACUGAUCACUCUCCUGGAAGACAACUGAUGGAGAGAGGCCACUUGGGAUCAUGGAAGGAACAGUGGGUGUGGAAUCACCUCAUCCCAGCUCUGCCACUAAAGAAGUACCCCAGGGACUUGGCAGGUCACUUACUUGUGCUGGGCCAAAGCCUCUUGUCUUACCAUCCUUUGGAUGGAAUGGGAGGGCCCCUUCUUGUCCUCCAGGGCUCUGAAUCAGUGAGAAUUAAAAACUAGCCUUAGAGAUGGAAGCAAGCUUGUUUAUCAAUAUUAAUGAAAGGCAGCAUAACCCAGGCCAGCCUUGGCACAGGAAAGUCCUACCUGACUUCAGCGCUACCUCUGGCACACAGUCGUAUGGCAGUUUGGGGCAAGCAAUUGAUCAGUGCUCCUGGCCAAUUUCUUAAGCCUCCCAGUUAGUUCUGGAACAACAUUGGCAGUGGGAAGUUGCAUCCUUGUAAGUAACUAAACCAAUAAAAACAGAGCAGCAUCGCUCACACUUAGGCCACACCUUGACAUUUCCAAGCCCUUUCCUCAAGAUUGUCUGGGAUGGGGCGAUGCCGACAUCUUUGUGUCCGUUUUACAGAAGUCAAGGCCCAGAGGCAGGUCGUGACCUGCCUUAUAGUUCCACAUUAGAAUCAUAGGGAAAUGCCUUGGCCUCCAGAGGAAGAGGUCUCUGAAUUUCAGGCUCCUCUCUGAACUAUAAAAUCAAGUCAGACACUGAGGACUCUUGAAAUCUAGCUUCUUUGUGUAUUAUCGGCUGCCACAGAGCAACAGGCUGCAUUUGUGUGUGUAUAAAAUCUCUCCAUAUCUCAAUGCUUGGGAAAUCUCAGGACAACUAAUAGGAAGCUGACGCUAAAGCAAUUUGGCUGAAAAUGUGUUUGGAAUCACAUAGGAGGAAAAGCAAGCCAUGUGGCCAGCCCAGCCCAACUCUGGGUUUGCAACAACGGGUUUGCAGAGUCAGCACGUGGUUUCCUGCUAAGGGAGCCUCUUAAUGCUAUCUUCAAGGAGGAAUUGAGACGAAAAGCAGCCAGGUCCCAGCAGUAAUGGGUACAAAAAUACAAUAAAAACCCAUUACAGUUUUCUGGGACUUGUGAAGAUGGGAGAGGAUACAGAGGGAGAAUGUACAAACAAAAAGUGAGGGGGUUUUUUAAUCACAUUUUUAUAUUAAAAACUUAACAUUUUGUAAGGACUGAAGUGUUCCCUGGAUACUUAGCUUAUCCCAAAUCUAAGGCAAUGUAGCAUUAGUGGAAGGAAUACUAAUUAGAUUCAAUCAGGGAAAUUACUUAAUCUCUCUGGACCACAAUUACCUCAAUUUCCUCAUCUGGAGAAUGGGCAUCCAGGGACAGGUAGGAGGAUUGAAUGUACAUGAUCAUUAAGGUUCCUUCCAGCCCUAACUUGUAUGAUCUUUUUCCAGAUGCAGAUGAUUACAUCUUCCUCACAGUAGUCGGGAUUCUUCUGACACUCCUUCAGCCAUCCCUCCUUCCUCAGUGGAGGGCAAAAAUAAAAGAAGAGUCCCAGGGCCCACGUAACAGGGAUAAAUGGGAUCUUUGUCAGAGAUAUGCAAUAACUCAUCCAUGAUUUCAGUGUGGCUCCUCCCUCAUUUGUCAGCCCAAACUCCUUAGUUGACAAUUAAAGAAACUGAGGCCCAUGACUUGCCCCAGGUCACACAGUAAAUGGCAGGUCCGUCACUUUCUCAGACAGGUGACUUAUAGCAUUUCCCAAAGCUCAUGAAACAGAGACAAGCAAAAACCCUUUGAAGUUGGAGAGGCCAGCCAAGCUGGCUUGAGUGCUAAAGCCUGUGCUAUACAUUAAAGGUAGUAGAAAUGCCCAAACAGCCCUCUUCCUGAAUAAAUGCUCCAGAAACCUUUACUACAGUAACCUGACAGUGGCAUCCAUCUUUCACCUUGUUGCCUGAUUUCCCAGCAACCAACCCAACUGACGUGGCCAUGUUUCUUAAUUCUGUGAUCCUGAUGUAACUCUUGACUAGCACCUGCUGAUAAGCUGACCAAGUGUCAUUUCGGUAUUAGUUCAAACCACUCAUAAACCCAAUGAUCCAGGACACUGGGGUGAGAAUGAGCUAUUUCGCAAAAAGUGGGGAAAACUGGAAAGUAGCUUGGUAGAAAGUAGUCAUAGAACAACAUCUCACCCUAUAUAGCAAGAUUAGCGCCAAAUGGGUGCAGAUCAUAAAGAGUGGUGUGACAUAAGCAAAUUUAUGGAGCAUAGAAGAAAUUGCCCGAUAUAUCUAUAGAGGAAGAGUUCACGGACAAACGAGAUAGGUACACAGGAGGUUAAAUGUAUAAUUUUUUUAAAAUCCUUUCUAUCUUUGAAGAAUGGUAAGGACCAGGCAAUGGGGGUUAAGUGACUUGUCUGAGGUCACACUUGAACCCAGAACCUCCUAUAUCUAGGCCUGGCUCUCAAUCUCUUGAACUGAGCCACCCAGCUGCCCUCAAAUGGAACAUUUUGAUUACAUAAAAGUUUUACGCAAAGCAAACCAGUGCAACUGAAAUUAGAAGAAAAGCAGGAUAGUAGUAGGGGGAAAGUACUUGCAACAAAUUCUCUGAUAAAGGAAUUAUUUCUCAUGUAUGUAAGGAACAGUCAAAUUCACAAGAAUGUAAGAGCCAUUCCCCAAUUGAUAAAUGAUUGAAGGAUAUUAGUUUUCAGAGGAAGAAAUCUAACUUGUCAAUCAAAAAAAAAAUAACUGUCACUGAUAAGUAGACACCUGACCAAGAUGACAAAAAGUGACAUGUUGGUGGCAAUAAGAGAAAAUAGGUAUACUAAUGCACUGUUGCUGGAGAAUGAAAUGACAGACCACUCCAGUACCUUUGCCAAAGAAAGCUCAAAUGGGGUCAUGAAGAGUCAAACACAACUGAACGACAAUGUACUACUGUUGUCACCAAGAACUACUUCAGCCAUUGAGGAAAACAAUUUGGAAUUAUGCCCCCCAAAACUACUAAACUGUGCACACCCUUAGACCCAGCAGUACUUCUAGUCCACCCCAAAAAGAGCAACAAAAGGGCGAAAGAACCCACAUGUACAAAACCAGCAGCUCUUUUUGUGAUAGCAAAAACUUGGAAACUAAGGGAUGCCUCUCAAUGGUUAAACAAGUUACAGGAUAUGAAUGCAUUGAAAUGCUAUUAUGCUAGCAUAAAUGAAAAGAGGGAUGAUUUCAGAAAAAUCUGAGAAAACUUAAGAACUGAUGCAAAGUGAAGUGAGAAGAACCAGGAGAACGAUUUAUACAGUAAUAACAAUAAUGUAGAGAUAAAUUUUGAAAGCAACAGUUGGCUACUCUGAUCAACAUCAUGACCAAACACAAUUCCGAAGGACUUGUGUUGAAACAUAUUGUCCACUUGGCAUUUAGAGAACUGAUGGGACUCAGGGCUGUGUAAAGAAUAUUUUCUUCUUUAUUUUUUGUGGAUUUUGGGGGUGGGGAAGAUAUAACUAAUAUGAAAACUUAUUUUGCAUGACUACAUAAUUUCUAAUGGGUUUUGUUUUCCUCAACGGGUGGAGGGAGGAGAGAAUUGGAAUUGAAAAAUAAAAUUGAAUUAAAAAAAAAUAAACCAUGAUGCAUCUGUAAAA
Non-coding RNA from Monodelphis domestica (gray short-tailed opossum), 5597 nucleotides. The record is from RefSeq and is a predicted model, not a curated record. NCBI's taxonomy places the organism in Eukaryota, Metazoa, Chordata, Mammalia, Didelphimorphia, Didelphidae.